Molecule: ribosomal RNA, 388 nt
Filed under: uncultured bacterium
Lineage: Bacteria
Description: bacterial SSU rRNA
Rfam family: Bacterial small subunit ribosomal RNA
Source: RNAcentral
AUUGAACGCUGGCGGCAUGCCUUACACAUGCAAGUCGAACGGUAACGGGCCUUCGGGCGCCGACGAGUGGCGAACGGGUGAGUAAUGCAUCGGAACGUACCUUUCAGUGGGGGAUAACGUAGCGAAAGUUACGCUAAUACCGCAUAUUCUGUGAGCAGGAAAGCAGGGGAUCGCAAGACCUUGCGCUGAUUGAGCGGCCGAUGUCAGAUUAGCCAGUUGGUGAGGUAAAGGCUCACCAAGGCGACGAUCUGUAGCGGGUCUGAGAGGAUGAUCCGCCACACUGGAACUGAGACACGGUCCAGACUCCUACGGGAGGCAGCAGUGGGGGAAUUUUUGGACAAUGGGGGCGAACCCUGAUCCAGCCAUGCCGCGUGAGUGAAGAAGGCCU